Molecule: long non-coding RNA, 794 nt
Organism: Salvia splendens (bonfire salvia)
Lineage: Eukaryota; Viridiplantae; Streptophyta; Magnoliopsida; Lamiales; Lamiaceae
Exons: 3
Source: RefSeq, a predicted model, not a curated record
AUUCCGCCAAGAUGUUCGAUCAGGUUAUGUAAAAUAGAUCAAAAUUAGAAUGAGCAAUUAGGUUAUUUUGGUUCAGUAGUUUUUCUUGGCAGAACUCAGCAAAGGAACCGAAUACUAUUUUAAGCUUUGGCAUGCCCCUUGGGGCCAUGUUGGUAGUCUCGUGUUUCAGAAACUCCAUCCAAACACAAGAAUUUGAACAAGCAGAUAAGAAUGUGGGCUUACGGUGCUGGCAAUGUGGAAGGUGUCUACAUACCCAGCGAAUUUGGAGCCUGCAAAGACAAUGACACAAAACUUGAUUAAGUAUGAAGAAUAAUAUGCCCUCUUAACGCGUACCAAUAGCAUUCUUUCAAAUCUAAAGCUGAACAGCAGAACUGCUAAAGAUUCACUGCAUAAAUGGACUUCUAAGUUUUAAUCACAGUAAGGCUACUAGCAACAAGGCCAUUGUCUAUCAGAUAAGGAGUAUAAUUCAAAUUUUAAUUCUUGGAACUGGCCUUUCCCCAAGUAUAAGUAUGACGUAUCUUUACUCAUAGCAUGCAGGUACAGAAGCCAAGGUCUUACUUGCUGAGUACAAGCCUGUCUAUUGCAUUCUGGUUUCAGACCACUAAGCUCGAGUCGAGUGUGAUGUAAUAUGAGUAGAAGUUUAUCUGAUGUCGAGGUUUUCAGGGGGGGAGAUCUGCAUCAUAUUUGGACUAAGAGCAGAGAUACAGCCCAUAAAAUCUGCGUCAAGUGCUGACUGGUUGCAUGCUUAUUGCAUAUGUUCAAGAUAAGUACUCAGAAAGAACUUAUAAUCACCA